This 69-nucleotide transfer RNA is filed under the name Epitonium scalare. RNAcentral's name for it is "tRNA-Ile". The record is from RNAcentral. Lineage: Eukaryota; Metazoa; Mollusca; Gastropoda; Epitoniidae.
GGCAUUACGCCGGUCUGAACGGAAAUCAUUGAUGUUGAUUAAUAUGUAGAGAAGUUUCUGCUGAUGCUA